GAUGAAGAACGUAGCGAAAUGCGAUACUUGGUGUGAAUUGCAGAAUCCCGUGAACCAUCGAGUCUCUGAACGCAAGUUGCGCCCGAAGCCAUUAGGCCGAGGGCACGCCUGCCUGGGCGUCACACGUCGUUGCCCCCCCAUCUACUCCUUCGGGAUUGCGGGGGGCGGAUGAUGGCCUCCCGUGCGCCUCGCCGCGCGGUUGGCAUAAAUGCCAAGUCCUCGGCGACGCACGCCACGACAAUCGGUGGUUGCGAAACCUCGGUUGCCCGUCGUGUGCGGUCGUCGCGCAUCGAGGGCUCGAAAAAAUUGCCGGGUUCCGGCUCGGCUUUCAACGCGACCCCAGGUCAGGCGGGGUUACCCGCUGAAUUUAAGCAUAUCAAUAAGCGGAGGA
This 391-nucleotide unclassified non-coding RNA is filed under the name soil metagenome. RNAcentral describes it as "partial contains 5.8S ribosomal RNA, internal transcribed spacer 2, and large subunit ribosomal RNA". The stretch from base 1 to 122 matches the Rfam family "5.8S ribosomal RNA", at positions 35 to 154 of the family's 154-position model. The record is from RNAcentral.